GGAAAUGUGGCUCAAUUGGUCAGAGCAUCGGAUUACAAUCCCGAAGGUUAUAGGUUCGAGUCCUAUCGUUUCCU
RNAcentral lists this transfer RNA (74 nucleotides) under Bigelowiella natans CCMP2755. Its description in RNAcentral is "tRNA-Cys for anticodon GCA". It matches the Rfam family "tRNA". From Rfam's summary of the family: Transfer RNA (tRNA) molecules are approximately 80 nucleotides in length. The record is from RNAcentral. Lineage: Eukaryota; Cercozoa; Chlorarachniophyceae.